ACUCACUGACACAGACCUCCUUGUUAAAGCCUGAUCCUGUCAGAUCUCAGAAGCUAAGCAGGAUGUAGCCUGGUUAGUACUUAGAUGGAAGAUCACUGGGAAUACCUGGUGCCACAGUAAGGC
Molecule: ribosomal RNA, 123 nt
Filed under: Periophthalmus magnuspinnatus
Lineage: Eukaryota; Metazoa; Chordata; Actinopteri; Gobiiformes; Gobiidae
Source: RNAcentral